Molecule: long non-coding RNA, 1305 nt
Organism: Myotis brandtii (Brandt's bat)
Lineage: Eukaryota; Metazoa; Chordata; Mammalia; Chiroptera; Vespertilionidae
Exons: 4
Source: RefSeq, a predicted model, not a curated record
UGUGGCCCCUGGGCCCCCAGCAGCCCCGGGCAGCCCCGGAGGAUGGUGAGCUUGUCGGCCUCCAGCCCCAGCACCUUCACUUCUGCAGAGAAGCGCAGGCGCCCGUAAGGGUGAGGACCUGGGCCGCUGCCCCCCCUCGUUCCCCUUUCGAGGGACCUGCCACCGUGGGUACCCGGCCUGGCAGAUGGCUGUGCCCGGGCCGCCUGCCUCAGCUGGAGGGCCAGCCUGGAGGGGAGGCGGUCCCGCCUCUGCUGAGCCUGUGGUCGGUCCUCCCCCAGGUGAUGGGCCCGGCCUCGGGGUCCACCUGCCCCCCGGGAACCCCGCUCCUCAGGCUGUGUGUCCUCGGGGAGUCACUCAGCCCCUCUGGGCUCUGUGCCCGGCUGCAGAGUGAGAGCAGAGGGAGGCUUUGGGGGGUCAGAGUGGCCGAUGCAAAUGUGUGAGACCUUAGGAAGAGCUCCCCCCACUGCGGCCCGUCCAGUGAGUGCAGCCUCCGCAUCUGUGAGACAGCGGGGGGCGGGGGCAGUGCCGCGUGUCACCCCCAUUCCUCGGGCACGUGGCCUGGGAAUCCCGGGCUGGAGGGUGCGGAGGGUGGGGGUCCCUGUGAUCCGAGGACACACGGCAGCCCCCGCAGAAGUGGAGCCAGAGAUGGACCUGCCUCUCAGAGGUCAAGUGCGUCCAUCACAAAUACACGGCCUCUAGGGAGGGUGUGGGGACCCGGAAACCCGCCGCCUCCCGGUCCCCCGCUGCCGGUUUUCAGGGGCCCCCUCUCUGCUCUGCCCACCCCAGAAGCUGCCUCCAUCCGUACGUCGUCACCUUGGCGGCCGGUCUGUGGUCAGUAUAAUCUCUCCCCAGCUGUGCCCAGUCCACCGGCUCAGGACCCAGAGGGAGGCCCCGCUCCCAUUUGGACCCGAGUUUCCUGAAUUGGACUCUCUGCAGUUGGGGCCCGAAACUAGAAUUAACCAUCCCCCAGGAGGCGGGGAGCCCCUGGAUUAGAGAGUCUUUGGGCGUCUCCGGGGAAGCCCUGAGAAUACGGGGGCGAAGGGCUUUUCCUCUUCCCAUGGCCAGGCAGCCCUGGCCUUGCUCUGUGGGGCCACCCCAGGCUUGAGGGUCAGACAGGCCGCCGUGGACCCCUCUCCUUCCACCCGUGUGACCAUGGCCAGCUCCCCGCCUGAGGCUAAGCCGGGCAGCGGAGCAUCUUGGGAAAGAGGCGCGUGGAGGUGGGACACGCGUGGAGGUGGGACCGCCCGCGCUGUGCGGGCUCAGUGGGUGGCAUUGGCGGCUGCCAGAGACCAGAAGGCUCCGGUC